RNAcentral lists this ribosomal RNA (388 nucleotides) under uncultured bacterium. Its description in RNAcentral is "bacterial SSU rRNA". It matches the Rfam family "Bacterial small subunit ribosomal RNA", at positions 29 to 417 of the family's 1533-position model. The record is from RNAcentral.
UUGAACGCUGGCGGAAUGCUUUACACAUGCAAGUCGAGCGGCAGCGCGGGGGCAACCCUGGCGGCGAGCGGCGAACGGGUGAGUAAUACAUCGGAACGUGUCCUUAAGUGGGGGAUAGCUCGGCGAAAGCCGGAUUAAUACCGCAUAAGCUCUGAGGAGGAAAGCGGGGGCUCCGUAAGGACCUCGCGCUGUUGGAGCGGCCGAUGUCGGAUUAGCUAGUUGGUGGGGUAAAGGCCCACCAAGGCGACGAUCCGUAGCUGGUCUGAGAGGAUGAUCAGCCACACUGGAACUGAGACACGGUCCAGACUCCUACGGGAGGCAGCAGUGGGGAAUUUUGGACAAUGGGGGCAACCCUGAUCCAGCCAUUCCGCGUGAGUGAAGAAGGCCU